RNAcentral lists this ribosomal RNA (402 nucleotides) under uncultured bacterium. RNAcentral describes it as "partial 16S ribosomal RNA". It matches the Rfam family "Bacterial small subunit ribosomal RNA", at positions 338 to 755 of the family's 1533-position model. The record is from RNAcentral.
CCUACGGGAGGCAGCAGUGGGGAAUAUUGGGCAAUGGACGCAAGUCUGACCCAGCAACGCCGCGUGAAGGAAGAAGGCUUUCGGGUUGUAAACUUCUUUUAAGGGGGAAGAGCAGAAGACGGUACCCCUUGAAUAAGCCACGGCUACCUACGUGCCAGCAGCCGCGGUAAUACGGAGGUGGCAAGCGUGGUCCGGAUUUACGGGGUGUAAAGGGCGUGCAGCCGGAGAGACAAGUCAGAGGGGAAAUCCGCAGGCUCAACCUGCGAACUGCAUUUUAAACUGUUUCCCUUGAGUCUCGGAGCGGUCAUCGGAAUUCCUCGUGUAGCGGUGCAAUGCGUAGAUAUUAGGAAGAACACCAGUGGCGAAGGCGGGUGACUGGACGACACCUGCCGGUGCGGCGCG